Molecule: ribosomal RNA, 405 nt
Filed under: uncultured bacterium
Lineage: Bacteria
Description: bacterial SSU rRNA
Rfam family: Bacterial small subunit ribosomal RNA
Source: RNAcentral
UGGGGAAUAUUGCGCAAUGGGCGAAAGCCUGACGCAGCGACGCCGCGUGAGGGAUGACGGCCUUCGGGUUGUAAACCUCUUUCAGCAGGGACGAAUUCAGACGGUACCUGCAGAAGAAGCACCGGCCAACUACGUGCCAGCAGCCGCGGUAAUACGUAGGGUGCAAGCGUUGUCCGGAAUUAUUGGGCGUAAAGAGCUCGUAGGCGGUCUGUCGCGUCGGCUGUGAAAACCCUCGGCUCAACCGGGGGCCUGCAGUCGAUACGGGCAGACUAGAGUGCUGUAGGGGAGACUGGAAUUCCUGGUGUAGCGGUGAAAUGCGCAGAUAUCAGGAGGAACACCGGUGGCGAAGGCGGGUCUCUGGGCAGUAACUGACGCUGAGGAGCGAAAGCGUGGGGAGCGAACAGG